GUGCUGGGUGUGCCAGCUCAUCAGGCACCCAAUCUUGCAAGACUAUCAUUAAAAGUCUCACUUUUGCUGUUCUCCGGUCUCUGAGGUCUCUGAGUCCAUUCUUCGGGUGUGGAUGGAUGGACAAUUUCAGACAUUGUUUGGACUAAGCUUGCUUUGGGUCUAUGGAGCCAGUUCCACAUGUGUCUGGAUGAAGUCAUCUUUCUCACGGGGCAGGGCAAACAGGCUCCACACUGUCCACUCCCAUCCACCAGGUGAGUAGCCCCUAGGGUGAGAACGCCCCUCCCCACCUUAGGAGUAAGGACGGGAUCCAGCCAGCUGCAGCAAACCCACCCACAAAUGGGAGACUACACAAACACUCCACUUCCUGCCUGAGAGGGUCUACAACCAAACGGCACGCAUGACUGUGGUGAAGCUGCGGUGUGCACCUGUGUCACCAACCAGGGGCUCCUCGGACGGGGGGAGGGGGGGCUCAAAGACCAGAGGAGGAGGAGGUGGGGGUGCUCAAAGAUCAGAACAGGAAGUGGCUGAAGACAGGGACUAGAGCCGGAUACAGAGCAGGUCAUCUGUGAGGUUCAGCUUUCCCUUAGAGAGGAUUACUAACCACUAAAGUUGGGCCAAGCAUCUAUUGCCACCAUGUCCCGUUAGGCAAUGCCAGAUGGCACUGCAUCAGGGGCCACACGUGUGUGUUCUGGGCCCACAUGGGUGACCCACCCGUCCCCCAUCACGGCUUGCUGGGGCUAUGGGAUCUCAGCAGCUCCAGGGACUGAAGUACUUACUCCACGAGGCCACACAGGGUACAGGCCACGGAGCCGCAGCCCCAGCAGGUGCGCACACACUGCCCGCACAGGGCUCGCUCACACUGACCGCAGACCGCCUUCCCAUCCACGGCUCGCACGCAUGAGGAACAGGCAAUGGACGCUACCCCAGAUGGGUCUGUGAGGAAGAAACGCCAAGCCGUCAGGCUGCAAGGAGACUGGAGUUUCCGGGACUGCCGGGCUACCUGCCUCCAUGCAUACCUGAGGGCAGAGGGCUCUGACCUGCCUACCCCAUCCCCACCUACACUGGAUCCUUCUGACAACCCGUGAGCCUGGUACAGUGCACAGGACCCCCGUUUUACUACAGAGAUCCAAGAGACCACUCUGACCCCAUCUACACUGGGGCUGUGUUAUUGAUGAAAAGUGGAGAGAGCCCCUUACUAUAACCACUCAGACCCUCCAAACAUCUGCUACUGAGAAGAAGGGGGUGGAGACCCGAAUGAUUGACCUGCCUGUCUGCACUAACCCACCGCUCAGACGCCAGAGCCUCUUGUCUCUGGUUCACGUGGAAGUGAGUGAGUUGGUGCUGGGGGAGAAGUAUUUCCCCUCUGCGUUGGUGUCUUUUUACCCUGUGAAACGCCUGCCUUCCAUCCCGAGAGGAAAGAAAACGAUGACAACUUGUGUUCUGGUGGAAGAUUUAGCAGCUACUACAAAACAGAGGUUUGAAAACCUAUUUUGCAGCUCUCAAAUUUCAAUUUAGAUGACUUGACUUUGAGGGCCCAGUGUAGAUGUGAGGGCUGAGUAGAGAAAGCCCGCAGCCCCCUCUCCCCAGGAGCUUACCCCUGCCUCGGGGCUCCCUUUUUGUCUCUCUUGCUGUGUUAUGAAAGGAGAGCAUCUGGGAAUACUCAAAGGCUGGCUUCUGCCUGUGUGUCCCACCCCAUCUCAAGGUGGCUAGUGCUGCUGAGGGACUCCGGCCUGAGGAAGGAAGCGCCCGUGGCCUGGGGCAGAGCCGUGCAGUUGCAUGGCUUUCCUGCCGCUCAAGUCACUGAGGGCUGUUCUUGGUACUGUCUAGAAAAGUUGCUUGCAUCCCUGGAGUCACAGGAAUCUCAUAACCCAGCCUAUGCCCCCAGGCCCCUGCCGUGUCAGUAGAGCCUGCUGAACUUCCUGGGCUAGCGAGACCAGCUGACAGCCACAGUGCUCAAAAGUCAGGGUCUAACCCCGCCAGACUGGCGUCUCUGUAGGAUUCCCUGUCUUUGAAAGGAUACUGGAAGGGCAGUUGUUUUUCUAAACUUACUCCGAACUCUGAGCCACUGCACCUGGCCUUAAUAUCAUUUUAAAAACUAAACACGCUGGCGCGGUGCCUCCCACCUGUAAUCCCAGCACUUCGGGAGGCCAAGGUGGGUGAAUCAUGAGGUCAGGCGUUUGAGACCAGCCUGGGCAGCAUGGUGAAACCCCAUCCCUAUUAAAAAUACAAAAAUUAGCUGGGCGUCGUGGCGGGCCCCUGUAAUACCAGCUACUCAGGAGGCCGAGGCAGGAGAAUCGCUUGAACCUGGGAGGCAGAGGUUAUGGUGAGCAGAGAUCGCGCCACUGCACUCCAGCCUGGGUGAUAGAGCAAGACUCUGUCUCAAAACAAACCAUAUUUAAUUGACUUGGUCUCUUAUAUGGGCUUGUUCUAUUUAAUUUUCUGAGUAAACACAAGGCUUGGCUUUGUUACCCAAAAAACAUGGGCAGCUCUUAG
Molecule: long non-coding RNA, 2493 nt
Filed under: Homo sapiens (human)
Lineage: Eukaryota; Metazoa; Chordata; Mammalia; Primates; Hominidae
Description: HSALNT0379560
Source: RNAcentral